UGUUGUUACUGAUCAAAACAGUAAACUAGAAACAAAAAACCAGAAGCUAUAGUUUUUGAAGGAGGAAGAGAAGCACAGAGAAAACAGAGCACAAACUUACGUACGUCAGUUUUCUAAAGAAACUGUCAAGUACAGCCACUAAACACAAAACAAAAACUGCUCACGUACAUGAAACACAUAACUGCACACAAACGUGCUAUUAACUUCCUAGAAAAUAACAAAAACACUAAAUGCAUAACUAAAAGAAC
This 248-nucleotide long non-coding RNA is filed under the name Eucalyptus grandis. RNAcentral describes it as "long non-coding RNA (EGRA_LNC001872)". Lineage: Eukaryota; Viridiplantae; Streptophyta; Magnoliopsida; Myrtales; Myrtaceae. The record is from RNAcentral.